GUACCUUCCAUGCAAUAGAAGAAUUUACCUUUCUUCAUACGAAUUCACCAUCUGUAUGGGCAGAUGAAUGAGAGGCAGUUUAAAUCUAGCAUCUUCCGAAUUUUUAGGUUCACUAGACUAGAGACUUAUUUUUGCCAUCACAAAACCAAACUGGCCGCUCCUAACAAGUAUAAGAGAAAAACCGAAGAGUGCUCCAAGUCAAAGAGAGGAAAAAGAGGGGUAGCAUGUCUAUCUUGAAGGAUCGAAUAAGGUUAAACCACG
RNAcentral lists this long non-coding RNA (261 nucleotides) under Elaeis guineensis (African oil palm). Its description in RNAcentral is "long non-coding RNA (EGUI_LNC052013)". The record is from RNAcentral. Lineage: Eukaryota; Viridiplantae; Streptophyta; Magnoliopsida; Arecales; Arecaceae.